UUUCCGUAGGUGAACCUGCGGAAGGAUCAUUAUCAAAAAGAAUUCAUUUUUUUGAAAUCCUUUUCCACGUUCCUUGUGUAUCUAUUCCAUGUUGCUUCCACUUGACAGGUAUAUAUAUUGUGAAAAAGUCUUUCUUUUUUUGAAUCCUUUUCAACAGUAUUUACUUACCCUCCAAACCUUAUUGUUUAGUUACUAUAGGGCUUGGAGAAAUGUCGGUGGGUAGCCUUAAUUAUAAGAAAAACCUUUUAUAUAUAGUAGUCUGAUAAUAGUUACUUUUGAAAAUAAAGAAAAAAACUUUCAACAACGGAUCUCUAGGCUCUUGCAUCGAUGAAGAACGCAGUGAAAUGUGAUAAGUAAUGUGAAUUGCAGAAUCUCGUGAAUCAUCGAAUCUUUGAACGCACAUUGCGCCCAAUGGUAUUCCAUUGGGCAUACCUGUUUGAGUAUCAGAAUCCUUUUAAUUAUCAAACUUUUAUGUAUAGAGAUGUAUGUAAAGAUGUUUGGAUAUAAAACUUGAGAAAAGUAGGUAUUAUUUAUAAUACUACUUUCUUAAAAACCAGAAAUAUUAUGUUUUGAUUUUUCUUCAAUCUCAUUUUGUAUAUUAUUUAACAAAUGAGUACGAGUAAAAAUAAUCAAUACUUUGGAUGACCUCAAUCCGGUA
This 658-nucleotide ribosomal RNA is filed under the name uncultured Pezizales. RNAcentral describes it as "eukaryotic LSU rRNA". The stretch from base 293 to 446 matches the Rfam family "5.8S ribosomal RNA". The record is from RNAcentral. Lineage: Eukaryota; Fungi; Ascomycota; Pezizomycetes; Pezizales.